RNAcentral lists this ribosomal RNA (253 nucleotides) under uncultured bacterium. RNAcentral describes it as "partial 16S ribosomal RNA". It matches the Rfam family "Bacterial small subunit ribosomal RNA", at positions 524 to 776 of the family's 1533-position model. The record is from RNAcentral.
UACAGAGGUGGCAAGCGUUGUUCGGAAUUACUGGGCGUAAAGGGCGCGUAGGCGGCCUACUAAGUCAGACGUGAAAUCCCCAGGCUUAACUUGGGAACUGCGUCUGAUACUGGAAGGCUUGAGUGCGGGAGAGGGAUGUGGAAUUCCAGGUGUAGCGGUGAAAUGCGUAGAUAUCUGGAGGAACACCGGUGGCGAAGGCGGCAUCCUGGACCGACACUGACGCUGAGGCGCGAAAGCUAGGGGAGCAAACGGG